GCCCGGCUAGCUCAGUUAGAGCAUGAGACUCUUAAUUUCAGGGUCGUGGGUUCGAGCCCCACGUGGCGCC
Molecule: transfer RNA, 70 nt
Filed under: Megaselia scalaris
Lineage: Eukaryota; Metazoa; Arthropoda; Insecta; Diptera; Phoridae
Rfam family: tRNA
About the family: Transfer RNA (tRNA) molecules are approximately 80 nucleotides in length. Their secondary structure includes four short double-helical elements and three loops (D, anti-codon, and T loops).
Source: Rfam by way of RNAcentral